CCUACGGGAGGCAGCAGUGAGGAAUAUUGGUCAAUGGACGAGAGUCUGAACCAGCCAAGUAGCGUGAAGGAUGACUGCCCUAUGGGUUGUAAACUUCUUUUAUAUGGGAAUAAAACAGGGUAUGCAUACCCUCUUGUAUGUACCAUAUGAAUAAGGAUCGGCUAACUCCGUGCCAGCAGCCGCGGUAAUACGGAGGAUCCGAGCGUUAUCCGGAUUUAUUGGGUUUAAAGGGUGGGUAGGUGGAUUGUUAAGUCAGUUGUGAAAGUUUGCGGCUCAACCGUAAAAUUGCAGUUGAAACUGGCAGUCGUGAGUACAGUAGAGGUAGGCGGAAUUCGUGGUGUAGCGGUGAAAUGCGUAGAGAUCACGAAGAACUCCGAUUGCGAAGGCAGCUCACUGGACUGAAACUGACACUGAUGCUCGAAAGUGUGGGUAUCAAACAGGAUUAGAUACCCCUGUAGUC
This 460-nucleotide ribosomal RNA is filed under the name uncultured bacterium. Its description in RNAcentral is "partial 16S ribosomal RNA". It matches the Rfam family "Bacterial small subunit ribosomal RNA", at positions 338 to 795 of the family's 1533-position model. The record is from RNAcentral.